CCGUAACUAUAACGGUCCUAAGGUAGCGAAAUUCCUUGUCGGGUAAGUUCCGACCCGCACGAAAGGCGUAACGAGUGGAGCACUGUCUCAGCAGGGGACCCGGCGAAAUUGAAGUAUGCGUAAAAAUGCGUAUUACCCGCAGCAGGACAAAAAGACCCCGUGGAGCUUUACUGCAGCUUGAUAUUGGAUUAGGGCUUACUCUGUGUAGGUUUCGUUGGUGGCUGUAAAGCUGGUUAGCAAAGAUCGGUGGAGUCGAUGGUGAAAUACCACCCUGAUUGAGUUUUGAUUCUAACCUGUACCGUAACCCGGUAUGGGGACAGUGUCAGGUGGGCAGUUUGACUGGGGCGGUCGCCUCCGAAAGGGUAACGGAGGCGCCCAAAGGUUGGCUCAGAUGGAAUGGAAACCCAUCGUAGAGUGUAAAGGCAGAAGCCAGCUUGACUGCGAGACGGACAUGUCGAGCAGAGACGAAAGUCGGGCUUAGUGAUCCUACGGUACAGAGUGGAAUGGCCGUAGCUUACCGGAUAAAAGCUACCCCGGGGAUAACAGGCUAGUCUUGCCCAAGAGUUCAAAUCGACGGCAAGGCUCGGCACCUCGAUGUCGGCUCAUCGCAUCCUGGGGCUGAAUAAGGUCCCAAGGGUUGGGCUGUUCGCCCAUUAAAGCGGUACGUGAGCUGGGUUCAGACCGUCGUGAGACAGGUCGGUCUCUAUCCGCUGUGGGCGUUGGGAAUUUGCGAGGAGUUGCCCCUAGUACGAGAGGACCGGGGUGGACGAAGCGCUCGUGUGUCAGUUGUCGCGCCGGCGGCAUAGCUGAGUAGCGACCUUCGGUUGGGAUAACCGCUGAAAGCAUCUAAGUGGGAAGCCGUCCUCAAGACAAGAUUCCCCAUUGGGCAAACCAAGUAAGACCGCUGGGAGACUACCAGUUAGAUAGGCGGGGGGUGUAAGCGCAGUGAUGCGUGCAGCUGACCCGUACUAAUGGUCGAGGGCUUUCGGUA
RNAcentral lists this ribosomal RNA (991 nucleotides) under coral metagenome. Its description in RNAcentral is "bacterial LSU rRNA". It matches the Rfam family "Bacterial large subunit ribosomal RNA", at positions 1934 to 2925 of the family's 2925-position model. The record is from RNAcentral.